CUUUCUAUUCCAUGCUUUCAUUCUUUGACAUGACUCAAUCAUGACAGCUAAUAUUCUUACCAAGCAUUUUCACUUUAUUAUUUAGUGUCAUCCGUGAAUUUCUUUCUUCCUGCUGACUUAAUUACCUCCCCCCAGACUGCAGCUUCUGCCAUUGCCUCUUUGGGUUAAAUCUGCUCGUUUUCUUAUAUUAUCUAUGUUGCCAAUGAGGGUUCAUGGCAAGGUUGUUUUCAAAGCUUCUCACCGCAGGCUUUUAAAUCUAUCAUUCAUCCUGCAAAACCUCUUCUUUGACAUGCCCUUGACUUAACAGUUUUACUCUUAAAAUUAUGUGCCCCUGACUUUUACAAAGUUCCAAGCCCCUCCCAAACUUGGCAUUGUCUCACAUGCUCAACCCAAAUCGCUGCCAAUAUCUGAGUCAUUGGUGGACAGAAACCUUACCCCGGCCUCACAGGUUGUUAAUCCUCCCACCUCGGUGACCAUCCUUUACUUCUCUUCCUACUUUUAUAACCUGGAGUGAGGUUUCAUUUCUUCAGUUAUUUCUACCAUCCUCUUGAGAGCAUAUUUCUAAGUUCCGUUCUUUCACUGCAUGUACAGAUGCAUCAAAUGCAUGAAGGUAUGCAAAGUUCCACAUUCUCUUCUCAUUAUAACUGGAGUUAGAGCGAUUCUAAACACUGACAGGGGCCACGUGGAGACCUACUUGACUUUGGUAAGAAUUUACCGUGGGGAUCGGAGAGGUAACCACUUCCUUUGCACCCAAACAGUGACUCUUUCUUGACGAGAAGGUGAAGGGCGUGAAUCUGUGUCUUCCACAGUCUCUGAGGCGGAAGCAAAGAAACACAGCACAGCUGGGAGGAGGGGCUGACAGCGGACCUACGUUCUGCGGAUUCCCUAGCAAUGGUCAGAGCAAAAAGGUGGGCUAAGAGCAUUUGACAGAAUAAUAAGACGGUGCUAAUUCAACAGGCAUCUUUAUUUUCAUUGUCUGGUGUGGACAUUUACUACUUUAUUGCCAAGCAUUCCUUCCUUCUCUUGCUCAUGACAGCGUUCUAAUUUUUUUUUUUUUUUAAAUCAAGAGCAGCCACCUCCCUGGCUCCUAGUCCUUGUGGUUGGAAGGAGGCCCUCACUCUCAGUUUGCAAGGAAGUCCUAGUGUAAGUCAUUUGUAAAUCCCGACCUCCCAGCCAAAGGAUUAGUCCCAGGGAUGUGCAACUAAUCCCAUGGAGGCCGCUGGGAUCCAGACCCUGGCCUUUCCAUUCACUCCUACAAAACUGCAUCUCUUCCUUUUUUAAUGGACUUUGGGAAGAUGUCAUCCUGAGUCUCCAGAAACCUGCUAUGUUGAUGUUACUUUCUCGGGGUGGGGAGGGGGGCAUGCACAGACGUGACCGGAGCUGAGAUGGAGAAAUGCCAGCUUCACAUGACUCCAUGAACACCUUUUCCGUUAUGCAAGUUUGAAUUGGUUUAUUGUCACUUAAAAUCAAAUCCCCUUGAGUAAUAAUUACACCCGGUUUCCAGACAAGAAGAUUCAGAUGCUGAGAGGUAAAGUACUCUGUGUCAACUCAGAUAGGCUAGAGAAGAGCGUGAGACGUUUAUGGCACAUGCACUCAAAUUUAGAUAUCCCGGUUGCAUACCACCCUAUUACAUACCUCUUGCACUUACCUAAUCAGUGGCUUAAUUUGAAUAACUUUUAAAAAAAUUAUAGCUGACUUAUAAUGUUAUGCCAAUUUCUGCUGCACAGCAAAGUGACUCAGUUAUACAUAUGUAUACAUUCUUUUUUUUUCUGUAUCAUUUUCCUUCCUGGUCUAUCUCAGGAGACUGGAUAUAGUUCUCUGGGUUAUACAAGAGGAACUUGUUGCUUAUCCUUGUUGAAUAGUUAUGUAAAUAGCUUGUCAUCUUUCAGUUUUGCCAAGUCCCUCUCAAUUUAAUCAUUCUGGCAUUUCCAUACCAGAGUUUUCUUUCUAAAACAUCCAUAAGAUCAUGCUUUUCCUAUUUAAAAAUCUACUAUCAUUCUCUAUAGCCUCAAGGAUAAAUCCCUAGUUUAGAGGCUGACAUGUAAACUCCAUUAUUCAAUCACAGCAAACAUGCCCUGCCCUAUGGUUUACCCAUUUCUUCUUUUUUGGUCUCUUGAGCCUGUGUUUUUAUUUUCUAAUUUUUAUUGUAGCAUAGUUGAUUUACAAUGUUCCGUCAGUUUCAGGUGUACAGCAAAUCCUAUCACCUUGUCUAAACUCACACCUCUCAGGAAUGCAGUGUAAUCUUCAUACACUGUGUGUUUUAAAACAUACUUAUCAUGUAGUCAUCAAGUACGUUUUGCCUAUAUUUGAAUGUGGAAGAUCUAGGAACUUCCUAAGAUGAAUUCAGCUUUUCUAACUUCAACAAACGUCUGAACAACACGUUAACAGUGAUAUAUUGAUAAACAUAAUGAAAUUCAAACAGGUUGUUUCAGAAUGAUCACUGUAAAAUGAAAAAGCACGUUUCACAGAUUCCAUGAAUUCAUUUCCCCCACCUCUCAUCCCUUCAAAACAAGGCAAAUAUACUCAUUAUUUCUAUUGAAACCAGUUUUUUGGCAGCAGUUUCUUUAGAAAUGUUAGGGCUACAUUUUGGCAUCCAGUUAUGCACAUGUACACUUAUGAUUCAAAAGGGAUUUGAAUCUUAUUACUUGAUGGAUUUAGGUAUGGGCAUCAAAUCGGCAGUGAAAUGCAAGGCAAAAAUAUCAUUUUGUAAACAGUUUGCGUGCAUAGUGUUUAUUCCCAUUCUUAUAAAACAACUGAAACUUCUUGAGAUAAUUGCCACAUCCUACAAUGGCUUUAGCUCUAAAAUGAAUUCUGUUUCAUCUAUCAUCCAGUGAAGCUGCUGGCUUAUCUCUAUGUAUCAGACUGAUAUCAGAUUAGCAAGUUAUAUCUAUUGCUGGUAUUUGUUUAGAAGUCAUUCUAUUCUGUUUCCCUUUAGAGAGCACUUGCUGAAGUAAAACUGAAGGAAAAAAUAAUAAAGCACUAGGCUCCUUAACAUUUAUGAAUCAACAUCCCCAGUGCUCCUCUCAUGCCUUUAAAACUGGUGGGUAAAUUAAACAAAAACAGCAUGGCACGAGAUCACAGGAUCUCAAUUCCUCUGGGAUUCCACUUAAUGCAAAUUCCACUUUUGGAGCUGAAAGGAAAUUAGAGAAGUUUAGUGUGGAUAGAAUGUUUCAACUCAGGAAUUUAAAAGAAACCAGAUAAACUCUUGAGCAUCUGCUUGAUGUAAUCACAUUGGGGAAUACAACGUCUUGAAAUGAAGCUCCAAAAAAAUAAAUAAUAAAAUAGCUAUUUUCCCCAAAGCCUAGCACCCAGUGUAAGUUAAUGUUAUUUUUUAAUGACUUCCACUGGUGAAGUGAUUUUUCAAAGACUGUUGAAUCCAAACCAAUUCUUUGCCACAUGAAAACUUUAGAUAUUGCACGGAUGCAUAAAUUAACAGAAACUUCA
This 3444-nucleotide long non-coding RNA is filed under the name Sus scrofa (pig). Its description in RNAcentral is "lncRNA (ENSSSCG00060029988.1)". Lineage: Eukaryota; Metazoa; Chordata; Mammalia; Artiodactyla; Suidae. The record is from RNAcentral.